Long non-coding RNA from Hippocampus zosterae (dwarf seahorse), 379 nucleotides. RefSeq lists it as uncharacterized. Lineage: Eukaryota; Metazoa; Chordata; Actinopteri; Syngnathiformes; Syngnathidae. The record is from RefSeq and is a predicted model, not a curated record. The transcript has 2 exons.
UUCAAUUGAGUUUACCAUAAUUUUAGCUUGGUGUUUGAUUGGUCUUGUGCCAAAAACAAUUAACUUCGAUUUUUUUAGGUUAAGUGACAAUUUAUUUCUGUCGAACCAGUUUUUUAAUUUGUUUAAUUCGUUUUCUACGGUUGUCAGGAGCUGUUUCAGAUUUAUUCCAGAACAGUAGAAAGUUGUAUCAUCAGCAAAUAGGACACAUUUAAAUAGUUUUGAGACCUUGCAGAUAUCAUUUAUAUAUAAGAUGAAUAGUUUUGGACCAAGCACUGACCCCUGAGGAACUCCGUGAGUGAUUUUCAGUUGAUUCGUUUUUUUAUUGUUGAGUUGCACGUACUGAUAUCUGUUUUCUAAAUAACUUUUUAUCCAUUUAUAA